GGGAGCGUGGAGAGCGACGGGUGGAGAGAGAUGGAGGCGAUGGCGACUGUGUGGGUGGAAGUGGAAGUGAAGUUGGAGAUAGAUUUGGGUGACGGAAAUGCCCCUGUCCGUGUGUGUGUGUGUGUGGGCCCGCACGUGAUUCAGUAGAAAGUCGUGAUGAUGAUCGAUGAUUAGGAUAGACCGGUUUGGCACCUCCUUGUCGCCCCACUCGUGUGCUUGGCUGUCUAUUAUGAAGAGAAAAGUGUGAGAUUGAAA
RNAcentral lists this long non-coding RNA (255 nucleotides) under Hordeum vulgare. RNAcentral's name for it is "long non-coding RNA (HVUL_LNC014449)". The record is from RNAcentral. Lineage: Eukaryota; Viridiplantae; Streptophyta; Magnoliopsida; Poales; Poaceae.